Molecule: ribosomal RNA, 253 nt
Filed under: uncultured bacterium
Lineage: Bacteria
Description: partial 16S ribosomal RNA
Rfam family: Bacterial small subunit ribosomal RNA
Source: RNAcentral
UACGUAGGGGGCUAGCGUUGUCCGGAAUCACUGGGCGUAAAGGGCGCGUAGGCGGGAUGGCAAGUCGGUCGUGAAAUCCUUCGGCUCAACCGAAGAACGUCGGCCGAUACUGCCGUUCUUGAGGGAUGCAGAGGAGAUUGGAAUUCCCGGUGUAGCGGUGAAAUGUGUAGAGAUCGGGAGGAACACCGGUGGCGAAGGCGGGUCUCUGGGCAUCUCCUGACGCUGAGGCGCGAAAGCGUGGGGAGCAAACGGG